AUUGAACGCUGGCGGCAGGCUUAACACAUGCAAGUCGAGCGGAGUGAUGGUGCUUGCACUAUCACUUAGCGGCGGACGGGUGAGUAAUGCUUAGGAAUCUGCCUAUUAGUGGGGGACAACAUUUCGAAAGGAAUGCUAAUACCGCAUACGUCUUACGGGAGAAAGCAGGGGAUCUUCGGACCUUGCGCUAAUAGAUGAGCCUAAGUCGGAUUAGCUAGUUGGUGGGGUAAAGGCCUACCAAGGCGACGAUCUGUAGCGGGUCUGAGAGGAUGAUCCGCCACACUGGGACUGAGACACGGCCCAGACUCCUACGGGAGGCAGCAGUGGGGAAUAUUGGACAAUGGGCGCAAGCCUGAUCCAGCCAUGCCGCGUGUGUGAAGAAGGCCUUAUGGUUGUAAAGCACUUUAAGCGAGGAGGAGGCUACUCUAGUUAAUACCUAGGGAUAGUGGACGUUACUCGCAGAAUAAGCACCGGCUAACUCUGUGCCAGCAGCCGCGGUAAUACAGAGGGUGCAAGCGUUAAUCGGAUUUACUGGGCGUAAAGCGCGCGUAGGCGGCUAAUUAAGUCAAAUGUGAAAUCCCCGAGCUUAACUUGGGAAUUGCAUUCGAUACUGGUUAGCUAGAGUGUGGGAGAGGAUGGUAGAAUUCCAGGUGUAGCGGUGAAAUGCGUAGAGAUCUGGAGGAAUACCGAUGGCGAAGGCAGCCAUCUGGCCUAACACUGACGCUGAGGUGCGAAAGCAUGGGGAGCAAACAGGAUUAGAUACCCUGGUAGUCCAUGCCGUAAACGAUGUCUACUAGCCGUUGGGGCCUUUGAGGCUUUAGUGGCGCAGCUAACGCGAUAAGUAGACCGCCUGGGGAGUACGGUCGCAAGACUAAAACUCAAAUGAAUUGACGGGGGCCCGCACAAGCGGUGGAGCAUGUGGUUUAAUUCGAUGCAACGCGAAGAACCUUACCUGGCCUUGACAUAGUAAGAACUUUCCAGAGAUGGAUUGGUGCCUUCGGGAACUUACAUACAGGUGCUGCAUGGCUGUCGUCAGCUCGUGUCGUGAGAUGUUGGGUUAAGUCCCGCAACGAGCGCAACCCUUUUCCUUAUUUGCCAGCGAGUAAUGUCGGGAACUUUAAGGAUACUGCCAGUGACAAACUGGAGGAAGGCGGGGACGACGUCAAGUCAUCAUGGCCCUUACGGCCAGGGCUACACACGUGCUACAAUGGUCGGUACAAAGGGUUGCUACCUAGCGAUAGGAUGCUAAUCUCAAAAAGCCGAUCGUAGUCCGGAUUGGAGUCUGCAACUCGACUCCAUGAAGUCGGAAUCGCUAGUAAUCGCGGAUCAGAAUGCCGCGGUGAAUACGUUCCCGGGCCU
RNAcentral lists this ribosomal RNA (1359 nucleotides) under uncultured bacterium. RNAcentral's name for it is "bacterial SSU rRNA". It matches the Rfam family "Bacterial small subunit ribosomal RNA", at positions 28 to 1381 of the family's 1533-position model. The record is from RNAcentral.